UGAAGUCAACACAAAGGCGCAGAGUGGCCGAUAAGGAUCUGAAUGUCCCUUUAUCUGAGUACAUAUGCGGUAUUUGGCUUUCUCACACAGUUAGGGAAAAUCAUCCUGGGGAAAUCCCUGAGAUCGCCAGUCUGUGCCUGAGAAGAAAACCACUUGUAUUUUCAUCAGUGGCACUGCGCUGUCGGCGGGGAAGGUGCUGUUGCGCGCCCGGCAAAAAGUUGCUGACGCCCAUGUCCUCCAUUUCCACGGGCGGGAACCUCUUGUCCU
Long non-coding RNA from Anguilla anguilla (European eel), 267 nucleotides. RefSeq lists it as uncharacterized. NCBI's taxonomy places the organism in Eukaryota, Metazoa, Chordata, Actinopteri, Anguilliformes, Anguillidae. The record is from RefSeq and is a predicted model, not a curated record. The transcript is spliced from 3 exons.